UGGGGAAUAUUGGACAAUGGGCGAAAGCCUGAUCCAGCCAUGCCGCGUGUGUGAAGAAGGUCUUCGGAUUGUAAAGCACUUUAAGUUGGGAGGAAGGGCAGUAAGCGAAUACCUUGCUGUUUUGACGUUACCGACAGAAUAAGCACCGGCUAACUCUGUGCCAGCAGCCGCGGUAAUACAGAGGGUGCAAGCGUUAAUCGGAAUUACUGGGCGUAAAGCGCGCGUAGGUGGUUCGUUAAGUUGAAUGUGAAAGCCCCGGGCUCAACCUGGGAACUGCAUCCAAAACUGGCGAGCUAGAGUAGGGCAGAGGGUGGUGGAAUUGCCUGUGUAGCGGUGAAAUGCGUAGAUAUAGGAAGGAACACCAGUGGCGAAGGCGACCACCUGGGCUCAUACUGACACUGAGGUGCGAAAGCGUGGGGAGCAAACAGG
RNAcentral lists this ribosomal RNA (429 nucleotides) under Pseudomonadota bacterium. RNAcentral describes it as "Proteobacteria bacterium partial 16S ribosomal RNA". It matches the Rfam family "Bacterial small subunit ribosomal RNA", at positions 355 to 776 of the family's 1533-position model. The record is from RNAcentral. Lineage: Bacteria; Pseudomonadati; Pseudomonadota.